AUGCCUUGUCCCUUACUUAUUAAGAGGGCUUGGAUUUCCAAUUCAUCCGUUCCUCCGCGGGCUCGUGGAGUUCUACGGCCUCUAGCUGCAUAUUUCACUCCCGCCUCCAUAUUACACAUCGCUGGCUAUGUCGCCCUUUGCGAGCUGUUUCUGGGAUGCGAAGCUCAUUUCGAGCUAUGGAAGAGGCUAUUCUGCCUCGUACCCCAUACACAGGAGGGGUCAAUAUACCAAGUGGGCGGAGCCGAAAUAUGGCGCAUCGCCGGGACCGGAUACCUGUCCGGUACUCCGAAGAAGACAUCCGAGGACUGGCCUUCGGAGUGGUUUUAUAUGGAGGAUGUCCCCCUUCCGGACCCUAUUCGGAUGGGCCUUCCUGAAUUUGACAACGCUCCCUUGAAGAAACGCCGCAGCUGGCGCCCUCGGAGCCCUUAG
This 429-nucleotide ribosomal RNA is filed under the name Triticum aestivum (bread wheat). RNAcentral describes it as "partial small subunit ribosomal RNA". Lineage: Eukaryota; Viridiplantae; Streptophyta; Magnoliopsida; Poales; Poaceae. The record is from RNAcentral.